GUCCUUUUGUAUUUUAUUUAAGGUCUAGCCUGCCCACUGAUUUAUUAAAUGGCCGCGGUAUUUUGACCGUGCAAAGGUAGCAUAAUCAUUAGUUUUUUAAUUGAAAGCUGGCAUGAAAGGUUGAAUGAGAAAAUAACUGUCUCUAUUUAAUUGUUAUAAUUUUAUUUUUAAGUUAAAAAGCUUAAAUGAUUUUAAAAGACGAGAAGACCCUAUAGAGUUUGAUAUUAAGUGUAAAAAAUUUUUUUAGAAUUUAUGUAUUUUCUUUAUAUUUAUUAUUUAAUUGGGGUGAUUGAAAAAUUAAUAAAACUUUUUAUAUACUUUUUCAUUUAUUUAUGUUUAUUUGAUCCAAUGUUUUUGAUUAUAAGAUUAAAUUACCUUAGGGAUAACAGCGUAAUUUUUUUUGAGAGUUCAUAUCGAAAAAAAAGGUUGCGA
RNAcentral lists this ribosomal RNA (432 nucleotides) under Cryptophagus scanicus. RNAcentral describes it as "partial 16S ribosomal RNA". The record is from RNAcentral. Lineage: Eukaryota; Metazoa; Arthropoda; Insecta; Coleoptera; Cryptophagidae.